AUGUGGGGAAGGAUGAGAAGCUUCGACUAAGGUUCGAUUCGAGCGCAGCGAGAAAGCGUUGCCGCAGGCAACGACCCGAAGGGCGAAGCGCGCAGCGCUGAGUAAUCCUUCCCCUACCACCA
This 122-nucleotide small RNA is filed under the name Salmonella enterica. RNAcentral's name for it is "partial RtT sRNA". It matches the Rfam family "RtT RNA". Rfam says of the family: This family represents a bacterial cis-regulatory element known as RtT RNA. The exact function of RtT is unknown although it is thought that it may be involved in changing the cellular response in relation to amino acid starvation. The record is from RNAcentral. Lineage: Bacteria; Pseudomonadati; Pseudomonadota; Gammaproteobacteria; Enterobacterales; Enterobacteriaceae.